This 426-nucleotide ribosomal RNA is filed under the name uncultured bacterium. RNAcentral's name for it is "bacterial SSU rRNA". It matches the Rfam family "Bacterial small subunit ribosomal RNA", at positions 356 to 773 of the family's 1533-position model. The record is from RNAcentral.
GGGGAAUAUUGCACAAUGGGGGAAACCCUGAUGCAGCGACGCCGCGUGAGUGAGGACGGCCUUCGGGUUGUAAAACUCUGUUCUUGAGGAAGAAUUCCUUCCAGGCGAACAGCCUGGAAGGUUGACGGUACUCAAGGAGAAAGCCCCGGCUAACUACGUGCCAGCAGCCGCGGUAAUACGUAGGGGGCGAGCGUUAUCCGGAAUUAUUGGGCGUAAAGCGCGCGCAGGCGGCUGAUUAAGUCAGGUGUGAAAGGCUGCGGCUCAACCGCAGAGCGGCACCUGAAACUGGUCAGCUUGAGUGCAGGAGAGGGGAGCGGAAUUCCCGGUGUAGCGGUGGAAUGCGUAGAGAUCGGGAGGAACACCAGUGGCGAAGGCGGCUCUCUGGCCUGUAACUGACGCUGAGGCGCGAAAGCGUGGGGAGCAAAC